RNAcentral lists this long non-coding RNA (199 nucleotides) under Elaeis guineensis (African oil palm). RNAcentral's name for it is "long non-coding RNA (EGUI_LNC078740)". Lineage: Eukaryota; Viridiplantae; Streptophyta; Magnoliopsida; Arecales; Arecaceae. The record is from RNAcentral.
UCCUGAAGGCGAAUAGCCUCCACAGUAACUUUUAAGUGGCUCUUCCUCAGCCGGUGGAGUUCAUCUUCUAGCUUCUUAGAGUUUUUCAUCAAUCGAUGAACUUCCCUUUGAAGGUCUCAUAUCAUCGACUUCAUUGGAAUACCCUCCGAUAGGGGAAGAGCUUCGACAGGACACUGUCGUUGGAAGACGAGAGCAUCAU